This 253-nucleotide ribosomal RNA is filed under the name uncultured bacterium. RNAcentral describes it as "partial 16S ribosomal RNA". It matches the Rfam family "Bacterial small subunit ribosomal RNA", at positions 524 to 776 of the family's 1533-position model. The record is from RNAcentral.
UACGAAGGGGGCUAGCGUUGUCCGGAAUUAUUGGGCGUAAAGAGCUCGUAGGCGGUUUGUCGCGUCUGCCGUGAAAGUCCGGGGCUCAACUCCGGAUCUGCGGUGGGUACGGGCAGACUAGAGUGAUGUAGGGGAGACUGGAAUUCCUGGUGUAGCGGUGAAAUGCGCAGAUAUCAGGAGGAACACCGAUGGCGAAGGCAGGUCUCUGGGCAUUAACUGACGCUGAGGAGCGAAAGCAUGGGGGGCGAACAGG